AUCCAGGACCGGGAUAAGAACCAGGAUCAGAACCAGGACCAGAUCCAGGAUCGGGAUCAGAUCCAGGACCAGUACCAGAACCAGGACCAGGAGUCCAGCAGCAGGACCAAAGUGGACUCUUCCUCCGCUGGUCUGCAGAAACAGUUAACACAGAAAGCAAAGUCACGCCAAAAUCUACAGUCCAUCAAAACCUGACCAUACAAUAAUCCUGAAACUCAGAUCAGGACAGCAGCACAGCAUCCGCGGCGAUGAGCAUCAAGCUGAUCUGAAGAUCCAAAGGGUCACGGCACCAGUGGAACAGGUUUGGAUCCGUUGCGACAAAUGACGAGUCAUAGGUUGGUUUUCUACAUUUAUUUCUGCAGAAGACAAAAAAAAACACAUUAAUAAGUCUUCUGGACCCUCUUUUUACUCCUUCUGCUCCCCUCAUCAGAGCAACGCAGCACUGUGUAAUUUAAUUGAUUUUCCUCUACAAUGCAGAGAAAUACACUCCUACAUUUUCUCAAACAAAAGCUACCAAAACAGACAGGAAAAUAGUAUUUUUAACUAAUAAAUCGCUAAAUCAUAACAGCCAAUAUUGGAACAGUGACACCCAACGAUCAAAACAAAACACUGUAUAUAUGGUGUAAACACAAUGAAAACAAUUAAUUUGACAAAGGAAACAUACCUGCAGAAGACACAAAAACAGCCACGUAAUGUCAGUGGCAUUUAAAGUAUACAACAUGCGCCAAAAACGCCAACAUAAAUGGAUAAUUUCUGAAUAUACAAAUAUCAUAAAUAUGUCAGCUCCUCACAGUGCUGCGUUGCUCUGAUGAGUGUAAGUUGGGAACUGCUGCUGCGUUUCUUAACAGAUUUUCUUUAAGAAAUUAUCCAUUUAUGUUGGCAUUUUUGGCGCAUGUUGUAUACUUUAAAUGCCACUGACAUUACGUGGCUGUUUUGUGUUGUUUUGGUGAUUAAUAUGCUUCUUGUGGAUGUUUUUGUUUUUGCGCCUUUUUGUAUGGCGGUGGGCGGUGACUGGUUUAAACCAGCAGGUGGUAGUGUGGACCAGACGGCGCUGCAGAGACUCUGAGUGCUCACUUUCCCCUUUUUGUUUUGUUUGUUCAGGGAGCAGGAGGAGUAAAAAGAGGGCCCAGAAGACUUAUUAAUGUGUUUUUUGUGUCUUCUGCAGGUAUGUUUCCUUUGUGAAAUUAUUUGUUUUCUAUGUGUUUAUCCCAUAUAUACAGUGUUUUGUUUUGAUCGUUGGGUGUCACUGUUCCCAUAUUGGCUUUUAUGAUUUAGCUAUUUAUUCGUUAAAAAUAUUAUUUUCCUGUCUGUUUUGGUAGCUUUUGUUUGAGAAAAUGUAGGAGUGUAUUUCUUUGCAUUGUAGAGGAAAAUCAAUUAAAUUACACAGUGCUGCGUUGCUCUGAUGAGGGUAGCAGAAGGAGUAAAAAAAGAGGGUCCAGAAGACUUAUUAAUGUGUUUUUGUGUCUUCUGCAGAAAUAAAUGUAUAAAACCAACCUAUGACUCGUCAUUUGUCACAACGGAUCCAAACCUGUUACAUAUGUCUGUCCAGAAACAAUGAGACAAAGGACAUUCAUAAAACAAAUGAUCCAGUGUUUCUUCAUCCUUUUUGCAGAAGGAACAUUGAUCUACCUCAAAUUUAAAGCUUUUUUAAGAAUUUCUGCCUCAGGAUAGACCUUAUUCAUAAUUCUAAAAUGUACUUCUUUAACUUUAGGCAAAAUAGGCCAUUUAAUAAAUUGGGAAUGCGCUUUGUUUAAUGUGUUUAUAUUUACCAUGCAAGAAUCCUGUUGAAUUAUCCUUCUGCAAAAAUCAUGGAACAAUCUGGAUUUAAAAACAUUACAAGAAAACUUGUUACCAAACUUUUUAUCAGUCAGAGUACAUCCUUCAAUUAAUAGAUUUGGUAAUACAUUUGAAGCUGUAUUAUACACCAAAAAGUUCUGAAUUAGGUGAAUUAAUGGUAGAGGAAUAACACUACAUAUUUUGUUGAAUUCUUUAUGAGAACAAUUUAAUUUUUUUUUUUUUUUUUGUCAAUCUGUCUAACUUAAAAGAAUCCCUUUACUAUCCAUUAAGUCAGUUACAUAUAUAAUGCCUUUAUCAAACCAAUUAAUUUUAAAUACUGAUUUUCUACUAAUUGUAAUUACUCUAUUGUUCCAUAAAGUUGACUUAUGAGGAGAGAAGUUGUGGACAAAUACCAUUUACCGAGUAUUUGUUUGUGAAAAUUAGACAACUUAAUGGGGAUCCUGUUCACAUCAAAAUCACAUUUCAAAAUGAAAUCUAGACAUCCUAUCUUUUUUUUUUUACCUUGUCUGCACACAUAUUAAUGGUUAAUACCAUGCUGGUAAAAACCUAAGGCAUAUGUGCAAUGUUACUAUAUUUUAUGUAUAUAUACAGGGUUUUUCCUGGCUCUAAUUGAAGCAGAAAUGGCACCAUCCUGAUCACACGUGUGCGGGUAAACUGUGCCUUCAACUGGCUCAAGCAAACACUUUUUACAAGAUAUUUUGUAUUUUGGGAGUUCGAAUAUGAUUAAAAAUAUAUUUCUUUAUUCUUUAUUUCAUUAAUUGAUAAAAUAAAACAAAUUAAUAUAAACACAAACGUUCCUAAAUUCUGAAUGAAAGGGAGCAGAAAGAAGAAGAAUCUUAUUUAAUCUGCCCCUUUUUCCCAAGAAAUCAAUUUACAAAGCAUGGAAAUUAUAUGAAAAUCAUGUAAAAAAUAUGACAAUUAUCAUGUUAACGCAUUAUUUUAUUAACAUAAAAAUAUAAAUACAAAUAUAAGAACUCAAUCUUACCAAAAAUAAAAAGUAAAAAAAAAAACUGCCAAUGGAACAGGAAAAAAAUGUCUUUGAAAUGAGUGAAAAUGGUUUUCUAGAACGAGAUACUUUUUAGAUGACUGUCUUAUUUUAAAUGUAAUGACUUUUUUUGGAUUAGAAAUAAAACAUUCUGACUGGAUAUAAGACAAGUAGUCUUGGUAUGAUUUUGACUUUAUGUAGGGUUUCAGACAUUUACUGACAAAUCUCGCAACCACACAGAGAGCAUUUCAGCCUCCUAUUGUUCCAUCUGUAGAACC
Cololabis saira (Pacific saury) is the source of this 3060-nucleotide RNA transcript. It is a transcript of the gene named zinc finger protein 665-like, with no coding region annotated. The record is from RefSeq and is a predicted model, not a curated record. The transcript is spliced from 2 exons. Lineage: Eukaryota; Metazoa; Chordata; Actinopteri; Beloniformes; Belonidae.